Molecule: ribosomal RNA, 460 nt
Filed under: uncultured bacterium
Lineage: Bacteria
Description: partial 16S ribosomal RNA
Rfam family: Bacterial small subunit ribosomal RNA
Source: RNAcentral
CCUACGGGUGGCAGCAGUGAGGAAUAUUGGUCAAUGGGCGCGAGCCUGAACCAGCCAAGUAGCGUGAAGGAUGACUGCCCUACGGGUUGUAAACUUCUUUUGCCGGGGGGCAACGGGCGUCACGUGUGGCGCCACUAAGAGUACCCGGAGAAAAAGCAUCGUCUAACUCCGGCCCAGCAGCCGCGGUAAUACGGAGGAGGCAAGCGUUAUCGGGAUUUAUGGGGUUAACGGGGUGCGUAGGCGGAUCGUAAAGUCAGUGGUCAAAUUGAGGGGCUCAACCCCUUCCCGCCAUUGAAACUGGCGCUCUUGAGUGGAAGAGAAGUAUGCGGAAUGCGUGGUGUAGCGGUGAAAUGCAUAGAUAUCACGCAGAACCCCGAUUGCGAAGGCAGCAUGCCGGCUUCCGACUGACGCUGAAGCACGAAAGCGUGGGGAUCGAACAGGAUUAGAUACCCGGGUAGUC